Molecule: small RNA, 324 nt
Filed under: Octodon degus (degu)
Lineage: Eukaryota; Metazoa; Chordata; Mammalia; Rodentia; Octodontidae
Description: 7SK RNA (ENSODEG00000022855.1)
Rfam family: 7SK RNA
About the family: 7SK was discovered as an abundant small nuclear RNA in the mid-70s but a possible function has only recently been suggested. Two independent studies have found that 7SK RNA binds the CDK9/cyclin T complex (known as elongation factor P-TEFb). P-TEFb activates transcription by phosphorylating the C-terminal domain of RNA polymerase II.
Source: Rfam by way of RNAcentral
GGAUGUGAGGGCGAUCUGGCUGCGACAUCUGUCACCCCAUUGAUCACCAGGGUUGAUUUGGCUGAUCUGGCUGGCUAGGCGGGUGUCCCCUUCCUCCCUCAAUGAUCCAUGUGCGUCCCUCCCAAAGCUGCGCGCUCGGUCGAAGAGGAUGACCACCCCUGAUAGAGGAGGACCAUUCCUUGGUCAAGGGCAUACGAGUAGCUGCGCUCCCCUGCUAGAACCUCCAGAUAUUCUGUGUUCUGUCUGAAUAGAUUGUUCAAAUAGGAAUUACCUGAUACUUAGAGAACUAGAAUACUAAGAGAAAUGGUUUCUUGGAGAAAAUGU